UUAGCCUGAGGUGGCACCAGGAAGAGA
RNAcentral lists this non-coding RNA (27 nucleotides) under Mus musculus (house mouse). Lineage: Eukaryota; Metazoa; Chordata; Mammalia; Rodentia; Muridae. The record is from RNAcentral.